GUGGAAAGGGAAGAUGCACAAAGCCUCUUUCUUUUUGAGAGUGUUUCUUCUCCUUACUUUCCUCGCAGUGGGAGGAGAUGAGCCAGCACUCUUGGGAACAAAACUGACGGAUCAGCUUGUAAGGAGGAAGGGAAAUGUUGGCUGCAUGUUCCCCAGGAGGAGAGGUACCAGACUGGGUCCCAUUCUGCUCUAUUGCCAUCGUUCCUGCUGACUCCCGGCAGCCCGUUCAAACCGACCUCGAAAAUCAAGGUCCGUUCUGGCUGGUGGUGCCUGGACCCAGAGCGGCCCCGCAACCUGGGGCUCUGCACUAGUCCCUCUGGCUGCUGCCCUUCCUCAUCCUCCGCUGUCCUCAACCGCAGCAGUCCCUCCCGGUGGUGGAAACCACGUCGUGUCUCAAGUCAGUGGUGAUGACAAGGAGUGAGCAGGAUGAUGAUGAAGACAAGGGAAGACAUAUCACCAGAUCUUUCAUGGUGAGCGAAUGUAUCUAAACACAGACAAGCCACCCUUCAGCAGGAGAGGCAGGCGGAGAGAGCUGGAGGCAGGAGAAAGAUUUAUUUUUAACACUGCAGCGUAUUAAAUAACAUGCCCUGAAACGCAUGUAAAUUAGAGCUGUGAAUCCAGCUGGGAGCGCUGCGAUUUGGGCCAGACCUCCCUGGAGCCACGGCUGCUCCCCUUCGCCCGGGGAGCGCUGCUGCUGCGCCUGGGUCCUCUCAGCAGAGCUGCCCAGCAAGAAGGAUGGUUUAAUAUCUAAUAACCCCUAUUACAAGCUUCAAGGGAUUAUUGUUCUGUUUAAAUAUAUGCCCAAGUGUCACAGGGAAGAGGCUCGGAGCUGAGCUGCCUCGUCUCCAGGCCUAGUUGGUGGUUACAAGAAAAUAACCCUGACUUUUUCUGAAUCGGGUUUAAAAUAAAAAAAAAAAAGCUGGGAUGAUGAAGACAGGGAGGAAGGAGACGGGCACUGAAGCGGGGUUUGGACCUGGAGGCUGGCGAGCGGCGCAGGGUGACCGUAACCACCAAGCAGUCGAGGCGAGCCGAACGCACCUUAUUAAUUAAAGUCUCUCUGACGAGGGCUACAGAAUAAUUAACUUGGUGGCGGCAGCGGCUGUGGUUCCCGUGCCAGGAGCUGAUCACCCUGGGGUCCGGCGUCCUGGCUGGAGGCUGCAUGUGUGGCUGGGACGGCUCGGCGGUGGUCCGAGCAGCGGCACCACCCGAGCCCCAGCAAACUCACCGCAGCGAUGAGCACCCGCCAUCCCAGGGGCCACGCUGCGGGGCCUGCACGGCUAAACCUCGCUCCGUUUGCCCGCCUUAGGGACCGUGCCGAUGCAAUGAGCCUUCGAUGCCAAUCGAAGAGGAAGAUGCAGGCGCUCACUGCUCUGAAUUACUGCCGCCAAUUACCGCGUGCAAUUAGGGCUGGAUCACCGCCCGUCCACUCAGCAAGGCGGGAGACAAAUCGGCCUGGCUCCCUGCGACCCAUUCCCUGGAGGGAGGCAGAUAUUGAUUUAAGAGAGGUGCCUACCUGCUCUUAAUGGGACCCGUGUUCGGUGAGUCGUAGCCGCGUCCCCAGUUAACAAUUUGUGGAUUUAAUCUAAUUUGCCGAGGGGGUCGGCAGGGUGGUUGAGUUAACGCCGUUCCCUCUCUCCCGGCUAAGAGCCCCCAGGGCGCAGUCAAAGCCGAGCCGCUCCAGCGCUCUGCAGAGCCAACGCGUUUCCUUAAACAGGUUUCUUCCUCCAAGGGAGGUAUUUGCUUGAGAGAAAUCUGGCCUGGGAUCUAGAGAAACGGCUUCGUGCUCAGCCAGUCCCUGGCGGAUGCUCCUGUCCCGGCGGGAUGCUCCGGGCCGCUCAGCCCGGGCAUGGAGCCAUCCCGGGGGGUUCAGGUUCCCCAGAUCUGUGCUGGAGCUGUGCCGUGCUGGAAGCGCACCUGAGGCAGGACAAAUUGGGAUUAACGCUUCUCCGACACGUGCUUUCUGUCUGGCCUUGGUUGAAUCAUUUAACCAUGCACGGCAUUUCCCCCCCUGCAAAGGUUUCUUCUGCUAUGGGGCAGCUGCAGCCCCACGAUCCACCAGGCAGCAGAAGAGCAGCGAAAGGACAAUUAAAUCCCUCACAUUGAUGGGGACGCUUUUGUCCUCGGUGUCACACAGCCCUUAAAUCCCAGUUGCCACCCAAAGCCCACACAUGUCCCAUCCCUUGGGUUGUCACCAGCCCACGGCAGCAUCCAUCAGAGGACGGGUCACUUCAAGCCCGUCACCGCCUGGGUGGUUUUGGGGGGCCCUGAGGCCACCCCACAGGGCUGGAGACGGGGACGGAGGGUCGGCAUCUUUUGGGACAGAGCAGCGGCACGUGCACAGGAGGAAGAAAGCCGGCGAAUGUGCUUUGCACCCUGCUGCCACCUCUCCCGUCCCCCCACUUCCUCACCAGUUACUGCCCCGUCCUUCCACAAGUGCUUUUCACACCUUUUCCGACUACUGCUCAGCGGCUAAUAAUGAAUUUUGAUAGUUAACAAUAAGCGAGUGAUAAUUUCUAAAAGAAUGUGAAACAAUUAUUUGCUCUGUUGGGGGAUUAGACGACAUUUAGGCUCUAUUUAAUGGCAAACUAAUUAAAUUACAUGAGAAAGCAAAUGGAAUCUCUUUUUGUUAAUUAUGAAUUUGCAAGCUACAAAGGCUAAACGAUGAUGGAUUCUGUAAUCUGCAGCGCUUUCAGCUAUCUGCCGUGAUAAGAUGACAACCAAGCAAGAAUGGAAGCGAGUGCAUUUUAAUUUCUGUAUCGAUUCUAUAACAGCAUAGCGAUCCAUUAACGGUGAUCCGCAGGAACCGACGUUGACUGGCAGCCGGCAGCUAAUUAUAUUAAAAACUGGAGGACCAUUGUUUAA
Dromaius novaehollandiae (emu) is the source of this 2862-nucleotide long non-coding RNA. RefSeq lists it as uncharacterized. NCBI's taxonomy places the organism in Eukaryota, Metazoa, Chordata, Aves, Casuariiformes, Dromaiidae. The record is from RefSeq and is a predicted model, not a curated record. The transcript is spliced from 2 exons.